This is a non-coding RNA of Arachis ipaensis, 264 nucleotides long. NCBI's taxonomy places the organism in Eukaryota, Viridiplantae, Streptophyta, Magnoliopsida, Fabales, Fabaceae. The record is from RefSeq and is a predicted model, not a curated record.
GAUAGUGAACUGAUCUUCAGUCCAUUUGCUGGCACGUCCGCGACGUUUGUAAUCUGAAACAACAACAAUUAGACCGGUUUACAUGACACAAAACUGUUUCUAACAUUGGUUUGGUUGCUUUGGUUUGCUCCAUCUCCAUAAGCAUGCAACGGAAAAGCAUAACAACAAGUAUAAGAGAUAUAAGAGAAGAAGAAGAAGAUUGGAGUACCAAUUCACCAUUUUGAAGGCUGGUUUCAUUAACAAUCUGGAAAAAGUGAAUGGGGC